AUGUGUGGGCAGGCCCAGGGCCUUGCCCCGCUGUGGAGCCCUGGCUGCUGCUGCGCUGCCUUCAGUGCAGCUCAGUGGGGGCCUCCCAUCCUCCUGCUGCAGGCGGGAAGUGCAAAUCUCCGGGGCUGCAGAGACCUGGAGCUGAGGCUGAGGGGUCCCCCCGUGCUCAGCUGUGCUGGCGGCUGUUUCUGGCCUCGGGGCCACUUGGCACGGGCCACGCCACUUGGCCACCAGUGGUGCUGCUCUGCACUCCUUAGGCAGGAGCUGAUGUCCUGCUUGGAUGUUGGAUGUUGGCAACAGCAAAGUGCCAAGGCAGGCUCUGUGCCAGCCCAGUUUCUUGGGGGAGAGAUUGCACCAGAGACAGGAUUCUGGCCACAGACUGCUUUAAAUGUGCAUCCCUUAUCUCCACCCUGCACUAGGUGGAGAAUUCCCAGGGUAAGGAAUUCCCAAGAUGAAUUCCAUGGGAGAUUGAAUUGAAUAUCUGCCCUGGGUCUUGCUCUUCUUCUUGCCACUGCCAAUGGCAAAAGCUGUAUCCAUGGCAUCCUGGUUCCUAUCCCCAGCUUCCAAAGGUGUUUCUUUAGUUCCCCAUUCAUUCUUUGUACCCAGCCUGAGCUGUGGGGGUGCCAGGGGUUAUAGAGGUCCCAUCGUAUUCCUAAAGCUGACAUAACCCCCUGAAGUAUUUUUCCUGUAAAAUAAGUUCUACUGUCUGAUUCUAUUGCUUCCACAAUCCCUUCUCUUGGAAUUAUUUCUUUCAGAAAUAUCUUAGUAAGUGAUCCAGUGGUUGCUGAAGAAGCAAUAAUUGAUUUUGCCCCCUUUCAGCUGACAUGGUGUUACCAGAAGAUAUUGAAGCCUUCCUGCUCAGGGUAUUUCAGUGCCAGGCUCUUACGAGCACACACAGCUCUGUGGGUUUGUCCUGUGCUUUGUCUAAUUCCCCUUCCUUUCUGUGAAAAACACCAUUCACUUUUGUUAAAAUUUUAGAAGUUUAAUAAUAAUGAAAAUAGUCAUAAAAAUUAGGACAAUAAGAGACAGUAAAUGAAGUCUGGGUGCCUGGCACUCCACCAAAUAGCGCACCCUGCUUACAAAGGAUUACCCCUUAAAAGCAAUAGCCUAUUGCAUAUUCAUGUAUCUCAUACAUGAUUCAAGCAUCCCUUUCAAACCAGGGUGUUUCUGCUUAAUUUUAGCUUCUCCCCCAUCUUGUAAAUCGGCCUUCUUGGUUCCUCGAAGUCUGAGCUUUUCUGGAAAGGAGGCAAUGAUUCUUCUCUGGGGUUCUAGGUGUCUGUUGCUGUGAUCUCUAUCCAGAGAGGAUAAUGCAAAGAAUUUCUUGAUUAUCUUUUCCAUUCCUUGAGCUAGCUACAAAAAGUAUCUUAUGUCGUAUAGUUUCUAUUUUAAUAUUAUGCUAUAGGCUAAAAACUGUAUGUAGCACACUACGGAAAAGAGAUUAAUACAGCACUACCUAAAAGAGAUUAAUAUAGCACUACUUAAAAGAGAUUACUAGAGCAUAACUUUCCAACAUAACACAUAUAGUAAUAAUUUUAAUGUUUUCAAUGAGCCAAUCAUAUAAUAUGCAUUUUUCAUUCUUCUCUCCCUUAGAAUAGGGUGUUGCUUCUAGACAACACUUGUGCUGGUUGCUUCAAAGUACUUUGAAGAGGCUCCAUAUCUAAUUUUCCCCAUUUCCCUGAGGCUACCCACACUUCUGGGUUCACUUCAGCAUAGGCCUUGCCAGACAUAUGACACAAAGGUACAACAGAACUAGCCUCUGUAUCAGCUUUUGUAAUGUUAAUUUGCAUUCCCAGUUUAGUGAUCAAAUCCCUUCCCUGUAAACUAUAGUCACAAUUAGGAGCAAGUAAAAAUUCUUGCAUUUCAAACCCUUUCCCAUAUCUGCUAAGAGUGGUUGAAUAAAGCCACUCCUCUUUCCUACUUCUCCCCCG
RNAcentral lists this long non-coding RNA (1928 nucleotides) under Taeniopygia guttata (zebra finch). Its description in RNAcentral is "lncRNA (ENSTGUG00000028528.1)". The record is from RNAcentral. Lineage: Eukaryota; Metazoa; Chordata; Aves; Passeriformes; Estrildidae.